AAACGUUGUUACAGUUAGUUCUCACUUUGCCUUCAACUAGAAUACGAAGAGACAUGUUCUGUGAUUUGUUCCAAAUGAUCAUGGAUAUGGUUUCUGGGCUAAUCUUCCCAAGUAGUGAUGAUGAAUCCGGGGAAGCUGAAAGCGCCGAAGCCAGUUGAAAG
Long non-coding RNA from Hermetia illucens (black soldier fly), 161 nucleotides. RefSeq lists it as uncharacterized. The record is from RefSeq and is a predicted model, not a curated record. Lineage: Eukaryota; Metazoa; Arthropoda; Insecta; Diptera; Stratiomyidae. The transcript has 2 exons.